Molecule: transfer RNA, 73 nt
Filed under: Nimbapanchax leucopterygius
Lineage: Eukaryota; Metazoa; Chordata; Actinopteri; Cyprinodontiformes; Nothobranchiidae
Description: tRNA-Asn
Source: RNAcentral
UAGAUAGAUGCUUGUUGGUUUGGGCGCUUAGCUGUUAACUAGGACUUUGUAGGAUCGAAGCCUACCUAUCUAG